This 502-nucleotide ribosomal RNA is filed under the name uncultured bacterium. Its description in RNAcentral is "partial 16S ribosomal RNA". It matches the Rfam family "Bacterial small subunit ribosomal RNA", at positions 28 to 507 of the family's 1533-position model. The record is from RNAcentral.
GACGAACGCUGGCGGCGUGCCUAAUACAUGCAAGUCGAACGAACCGCGACUAAGUGCUUGCACUAAGUCAAGGUGAGUGGCGAACGGGUGAGUAACACGUGGGUAACCUACCUCAUAGUGGGGGAUAACAGUCGGAAACGACUGCUAAUACCGCAUAGGACAUAGGAUCACAUGAUCCAGUGAGGAAAGGUGGCGCAAGCUAUCGCUAAGAGAUGGACCCGCGGUGCAUUAGCUAGUUGGUAGGGUAAAGGCCUACCAAGGCGAUGAUGCAUAGCCGACCUGAGAGGGUGAUCGGCCACAUUGGGACUGAGACACGGCCCAAACUCCUACGGGAGGCAGCAGUAGGGAAUCUUCCGCAAUGGACGCAAGUCUGACGGAGCAACGCCGCGUGAGUGAAGAAGGUCUUCGGAUCGUAAAGCUCUGUUGUUAGAGAAGAACAGCGCAUAGGGUAACUGCUAUGCGUGUGACGGUAUCUAACCAGAAAGCCACGGCUAACUACGUG